Molecule: long non-coding RNA, 593 nt
Organism: Dama dama (fallow deer)
Lineage: Eukaryota; Metazoa; Chordata; Mammalia; Artiodactyla; Cervidae
Exons: 5
Source: RefSeq, a predicted model, not a curated record
AAGGUCAACUGACUGCUGAAGAUUUGAGCUCCUCUUUUUUCGUGCAAAGUGACUGCUGGUUAAGCUAGAGACUCUUUCCUAGUCCCUGGCAUCUUUGGAAGGGCUAGGGGGGGUUGUGACUACAUACAUUUUAUUGGACUGCCUCACCCAUGGAACACACUCGGUAAUUCAAAUUCCACCAAGAGUGAGCUACAAAAGACUGUCCAAAUUCUUUGCAACUCAGUAAAUAAAUGCAUCACUUUGUACCAUGUCUUUGAAACUACGCCCAUCGGCUCCUGUGGACGGAAGCCAGAUGCCAUCUAAGAUGUCUGACUAACCUGAGGCCACCAUGUUAUAAGGAAGCCCAAGAUAGCCAUGUGGCGAGAGAGGGGCCAUGCUGAAGAUCACUGAGGUGCCUGUCAUAUACUCUCUUUAGUUGGACGUGACUGAAGCGACUUAGCACACGCACUCUCUUCAGAUCAAGGACUCCUGACUGAACAGCCUGUUACACUGACAGCAAGGAACUUGCUCCCUGAUCUGCAUAAGAGCUGAGUUUCCAGAGCACCUAGAGCUGAGAGUUGGCUGGCUGGCUGGAACAGAAUCCCUAAGAGGUA